This 500-nucleotide ribosomal RNA is filed under the name uncultured bacterium. RNAcentral describes it as "bacterial SSU rRNA". It matches the Rfam family "Bacterial small subunit ribosomal RNA", at positions 52 to 598 of the family's 1533-position model. The record is from RNAcentral.
UACAUGCAAGUCGAGCGGGACCUUCGGGUCCAGCGGCGGACGGGUGAGUAACGCGUGGGAAUAUGCCCUCUUCUACGGAAUAGCCUCGGGAAACUGAGAGUAAUACCGUAUACGCCCUUCGGGGGAAAGAUUUAUCGGAGAAGGAUUAGCCCGCGUUGGAUUAGGUAGUUGGUGGGGUAAUGGCCUACCAAGCCUACGAUCCAUAGCUGGUUUGAGAGGAUGAUCAGCCACACUGGGACUGAGACACGGCCCAGACUCCUACGGGAGGCAGCAGUGGGGAAUCUUAGACAAUGGGGGCAACCCUGAUCUAGCCAUGCCGCGUGAGUGAUGAAGGCCUUAGGGUUGUAAAGCUCUUUCAGCUGGGAAGAUAAUGACGGUACCAGCAGAAGAAGCCCCGGCUAACUCCGUGCCAGCAGCCGCGGUAAUACGGAGGGGGCUAGCGUUGUUCGGAAUUACUGGGCGUAAAGCGCACGUAGGCGGACUGGAAAGUUGGAGGUGAA